This is a non-coding RNA of Podarcis lilfordi (Lilford's wall lizard), 1542 nucleotides long. The record is from the annotation of a GenBank genome assembly. NCBI's taxonomy places the organism in Eukaryota, Metazoa, Chordata, Lepidosauria, Squamata, Lacertidae.
UAACCGCUUCGGAGCCGCGGGGCAGAGAGGGAGCAGGGGCGCCCGGCUGGUCUCUGGCUCUGAAGCAGGAAGGGGAAACCCGGCUGCAGGAUCAGGCCAGCGAUGCCCCCAGUUGUUCCAAGCAGGUACCGGUACUCCAAGCAGGAUCUGAGUACAAGAGCAGCUUUGUCCUCACCUUUAGUAUUAUAUUAUUGUAUUAUAUGCCCCUGUAAUCUCACUGUAUACAAGUUGUACAAGUGACAAUAAUGUAUUUCAAAUUGUAAUAUUUAUUUAUAUCCCGCCUUUCUCCCAGACCGAGAGCCAAGGCGGCUUACAAAGGGGUUGCCAUAGUUAUAAGUUCUGAAAGGCAGGCGGCAUUAAGAGGGAAGGAACUGCAAAUGUUUCAAAGAUCCUGGUUGAAAUCAGAAUUAGAAAAAAAAUAAAGAAGCACUUAUUUUGUGAAAUCAGCUGAGAAGAGAGGUCCAGUGGCUGUAAAAAGAUUUGUGCUUUAAAUAUUUUCAAAUGACAUAAUACCUGACAGAAUCUCGAGUUUGGAUUGGCUAUUUCGGAUCAAACCGAGUCCUUCCCAAGUGUGCAUCGCCUCUCUGCAUGUUUGACCUCUCAAGAGGCAUGAGGAACAUGUGACUCUCUCAUCAGCUGCAGCCAGUAUAGUCAAGACAUAGAUAAUUUUUUAUUGAUUUUACUCGAUAGACAGAUGUUUAUAUUUGAAAUCACAAGAUAACAAAGGAAUACACAUAUUUGAAUCAUCCAAAUUAAUCAGAUAAGGAAGAAGAAGGGGAUACACUGAUAUCGGAGUCCAUUCUAACUGUUGUUAUUUUUCACAGAGUUCAUGCAAAGCGGCUAGUAGUUCCAAAAGUAUUGCAGCCGCUUUCAGUUACAUAUUGCUCCAUGUACUUGGACACGGACCUUGCAACAGUCAUCUAAGGCCCAAAGCGGGGCCCCGAACUCGAAGCAUGGGAAGCCCCAACAACAAAUUUAUAAUUUGGCAGAAUAUUUAGAUUAUUUCAUGUGUAUAUGUAUAAUUUGGAAUAUUUAAUGUGAUUUGAUUGGAUUGUUAAAAUGGAAAAUUUAAUAAAGAAUUAUUUAAAAAAUCAAAUCAAGUGGUGCUUGUGGAAUCCUCUCCCCAGGGACGCUUGCCUGGGACCACCUUGACCUAUUUUAGGCGCCCAUUUUACCUAGGGUUAUGACCCUCAAUCUGAAGGGCUUUUAAGUACUUGUGGCCUCUUCUAGCGAGGCAGGUUCCUUGUAUUCGUACAGAUGUCUUUCGUACGUUCAGCAUCGGUUUGAUUGUUGUAACUGGUAUUGAUUUUUAUGCAGUGUUCUAAGUCGCCUUGGAUCGCUUUUGUGAGCGAAGUGACUAAUUAAUAUGAAUGAUGCUGAUGCUGAUAAUCCCUUGCUGGGGUUGCUGACGGAAGAUUACGGGAGCAACAACCGGAGGGCCGUUGUUUCCCCAUCCCUGAAUUAGGAGAAGAGGGGAAAGGCCUCUGGACCAGGGAUGACAAACCUGUGGCUGUCCAGAUAUUCUUGGACUGCAGCUUCCAG